AAUGAACGUUGGCGGCGUGGAUUAGGCAUGCAAGUCGAGGGAGAACCCGCAAGGGGGACACCGGCGAACGGGGUAGGAUCAUCUCGGUGACGUACCCUCCGGACGGGGAUAGCCACGGGAAACUGUGGUAAUACCCGAUGACCUGGCAGGCGAUUAGGGCUUGUCAGCAAAGGUGAGAUUCCACCGGAGGAGCGGCUGAGACGCUAUUAGCUUGUUGGUGAGGUAAUGGCUUACCAAGGCGACGAUGGCUAGGGGGUGUGAGAGCAUGGCCCCCCACCACUGGCACUGAGACACUGGCCAGACACCUACGGGUGGCUGCAGUCGAGAAUCUUCGGCAAUGGGCGCAAGCCUGACCGAGCGACGCCGCGUGCGGGAUGAAGGUCUUCGGAUUGUAAACCGCUGUCGGAGGGGAUGAAGUGUAUGGGAGCAAUCUCCUGUAUUUGACAGAGCCUGGAGAAGCACGGGCUAAGUUCGUGCCAGCAGCCG
RNAcentral lists this ribosomal RNA (486 nucleotides) under uncultured bacterium. RNAcentral's name for it is "bacterial SSU rRNA". It matches the Rfam family "Bacterial small subunit ribosomal RNA", at positions 28 to 517 of the family's 1533-position model. The record is from RNAcentral.